UGUGGGUAACGCUCACCAAGCCGACGAUCUUUAGGGGGCGUGAGAGCGUGACCCCCCACACGGGUACUGAGACACGGACCCGACUCCUACGGGAGGCAGCAGUAGGGAAUAUUGGUCAAUGGAGGCAACUCUGAACCAGCCAUGCCGCGUGAAGGAUGAAGGCGCUCUGCGUCGUAAACUUCUUUUAUAUGGGGCGAAAAUGCGGGAUUUAUCCUGUACUGACAGUACCAUAGGAAUAAGCACCGGCUAACUCCGUGCCAGCAGCCGCGGUAAUACGGAGGGUGCAAGCGUUAUCCGGAUUUACUGGGUUUAAAGGGUGCGUAGGCGGGACAUUAAGUCAGUGGUGAAAGCUCGUUGCUUAACAACGGAAUUGCCAUUGAAACUGAUAUUCUUGAGAUAAGUUGAGGUUGGCGGAAUGUGACAUGUAGCGGUGAAAUGCUUAGAUAUGUCAUAGAACACCGAUUGCGAAGGCAGCUGACUGGACUUUAUCUGACGCUGAGGCACGAAAGCGUGGGGAUCAAACAGGAUUAGAUACCCUGGUAGUCCACGCCCUAAACGAUGUUUACUUGCUGUUUGCCUUUCGGGGUGAGUGGCGAAGCGAAAGCGAUAAGUAAACCACC
RNAcentral lists this ribosomal RNA (620 nucleotides) under uncultured bacterium. RNAcentral's name for it is "bacterial SSU rRNA". It matches the Rfam family "Bacterial small subunit ribosomal RNA", at positions 253 to 873 of the family's 1533-position model. The record is from RNAcentral.